This 104-nucleotide small nuclear RNA is filed under the name Octodon degus (degu). Lineage: Eukaryota; Metazoa; Chordata; Mammalia; Rodentia; Octodontidae. The record is from RNAcentral.
GUGCUCACUUUGGCAGCACAUAUACUAAAAUUGGAACGAUACAGAGAUUCGCACGGCCCCUGCGCAAGGGUGGCGCACAAAUUCGUGAAGCGUUCCAUAUUUUU